This 440-nucleotide ribosomal RNA is filed under the name uncultured Thiobacillus sp. RNAcentral describes it as "bacterial SSU rRNA". It matches the Rfam family "Bacterial small subunit ribosomal RNA", at positions 937 to 1382 of the family's 1533-position model. The record is from RNAcentral. Lineage: Bacteria; Pseudomonadati; Pseudomonadota; Betaproteobacteria; Nitrosomonadales; Thiobacillaceae.
UGAUGUGGAUUAAUUCGAUGCAACGCGAAAACCUUACCUACCCUUGACAUGUCCAGAAUCCUGCAGAGAUGCGGGAGUGCCCGAAAGGGAAUUGGAACACAGGUGCUGCAUGGCUGUCGUCAGCUCGUGUCGUGAGAUGUUGGGUUAAGUCCCGCAACGAGCGCAACCCUUAUCAUUAGUUGCUACGCAAGGGCAUUCUAAUGAGACUGCCGGUGACAAACCGGAGGAAGGUGGGGAUGACGUCAAGUCCUCAUGGCCCUUAUGGGUAGGGCUUCACACGUCAUACAAUGGUCGGUACAGAGGGUUGCCAAGCCGCGAGGUGGAGCCAAUCCCAGAAAGCCGAUCGUAGUCCGGAUUGUUCUCUGCAACUCGAGAGCAUGAAGUCGGAAUCGCUAGUAAUCGCGGAUCAGCAUGUCGCGGUGAAUACGUUCCCGGGUCUU